UGAUUUGCCAGAGGACAUGGGGGAAACUCUGCAGAGCUGGUGUUAGCCCCGGAAUGCAGCGUAAGAAAGGCUGACUGCUUCGCUGGUUGAUGCAUGCUGUCAACUUUCCUCAGACACUUCCGGUCAGCUUCCUAGCAUGGUGAGUGAUAGGAAUUCCAACCAUGCCCUCACAGUUGUGCAAGCCGGGACCCAGGAAUGAGAAGGAAAACAUCGGAGCAGUCACACAUCCUGAGAUCAGUCAAGGAGCAAAGGACCUUCCACCUCCGUUUAUGUGGGGUGCCUGGUUGUUGGCACUGGGCAGCUGUUGGGAGAUCACGGUGUAAUGGGAUCCAUGGCUGGGGGUGCUGCUAGGGGACAGGUGCAAAAUCAGCACAUGCUCAUUGCCUUUUGUAGGGGAUGCCUAAUCCCGGUGGCUAGGUGGUCUGCAAGACGAAAUUACUAUGGAGAUCUGGGAAAUAAAUUCCUUAGUCUAUUCUGUUUUUCUCUUUUCUCUUCUUCUCUUCCUACUUUCCCUCAUUCCUUCUUCUCAUUCAUCCAUCCAUCAUGUUGUUCAGAAAAGAACCCUGCUGUACUUCCAAAUACGUGGAGAUUUAUACAUUCUCUAGGUAGGUAGACGAGGAAAGAACAUCGCAGGAUACUAACAAUGGCUCAGUGUGUGUGUUCAUGUGUG
Long non-coding RNA from Peromyscus californicus insignis, 670 nucleotides. RefSeq lists it as uncharacterized. The record is from RefSeq and is a predicted model, not a curated record. Lineage: Eukaryota; Metazoa; Chordata; Mammalia; Rodentia; Cricetidae. The transcript has 3 exons.